GAGCAACCGGCCUACUAGAGGGGAAUAACAGUGAGAAAUCAUUGCUAAUACCGCAUAGCCAUGAACAUCACAUGAUGAAAAUGGGAAAAGAGUAAUCUGCUAGUAGAUGGGCUCGGGUCUGAUUAGAUAGUUGGUGGGGUAACGGCCUACCAAGUCAACGAUCAGUAGCCGGACUGAGAGGUUGAACGGCCACAUUGGGACUGAGAUACGGCCCAGACUCCUACGGGAGGCAGCAGUCGGGAAUAUUGCGCAAUGGAGGAAACUCUGACGCAGUGACGCCGCGUAUAGGAAGAAGGUUUUCGGAUUGUAAACUAUUGUCGUUAGGGAAGAUAAAAGACAGUACCUAAGGAGGAAGCUCCGGCUAACUACGUGCCAGCAGCCGCGGUAAUACGUAGGGAGCAAGCGUUAUCCGGAUUUAUUGGGUGUAAAGGGUGCGUAGACGGGACAACAAGUUAGUUGUGAAAUCCCUCGGCUUAACUGAGGAACUGCAACUAAAACUAUUGUUCUUGAGUGUUGGAGAGGAAAGUGGAAUUCCUAGUGUAGCGGUGAAAUGCGUAGAUAUUAGGAGGAACACCGGUGGCGAAGGCGACUUUCUGGACAAUAACUGACGUUGAGGCACGAAAGUGUGGGGAGCAAACAGGAUUAGAUACCCUGGUAGUCCACACCGUAAACGAUGGAUACUAGGUGUAGGAAAUGAUUUCAUUUUCUGUGCCGUCGCAAACGCAAUAAGUAUCCCACCUGGGGA
Molecule: ribosomal RNA, 745 nt
Filed under: uncultured bacterium
Lineage: Bacteria
Description: bacterial SSU rRNA
Rfam family: Bacterial small subunit ribosomal RNA
Source: RNAcentral